Molecule: ribosomal RNA, 253 nt
Filed under: uncultured bacterium
Lineage: Bacteria
Description: partial 16S ribosomal RNA
Rfam family: Bacterial small subunit ribosomal RNA
Source: RNAcentral
UACAGAGGGUGCAAGCGUUGCUCGGAAUCAUUGGGCGUAAAGGGCAGGUAGGUGGUCUCAUUUGUCUGGGGUGAAAGCCUUGGGCUUAACCCAAGAAGUGCCUCGGAAACGGUGAGACUCGAGUACUGGAGAGGGUCGUGGAAUUCCCGGUGUAGAGGUGAAAUUCGUAGAUAUCGAGAGGAACACCGGUGGCGAAGGCGGCCAACUGGACGAAUACUGACGCUGAGACACGAAAGCGUGGGGAGCAAACAGG